ACAAGUUUCCUAUUUAUCCAUCUGGGACUUUCAAAUCACUAUGAUUCAUUUUAUGAGAAAAAAAUGUGAAAUAUUUUCUAGAGGAAAUACAUAUCUUAAAAUACUUUUACUAAUCAUGUUUUGCUUAAGUUAGAGUAAAUAAGGUAGAAGAAAUUAAUUGCUCCAAAUCUGUUGGUAUUCUAUAAUAAUCAAUUAUGUCUCUAGUAAGUGCUUGUAGGGCAAAACACCUCUGAAAUUCAGUCAUGUCUUAUGUCAAAUGGGUGUAUGAAGGUGGGCACACCCACGUCUUUAGAGCUGAGGAUUUCUAAUGAGACAAUGCUGUGCCCUAGGCAAGUAGCAAUCUUGACAAAGAUAUCUGCUUCAAGAUCUAAGAAAGUCAAGGGUAGGCCUGAGUGGUGUUUGUUAUUUGAGUUGAUCAGUGGAGGUAACUCAUGGGCAGAGCUCUUUUGCUGCCCUUAAAAACAUUUCUGAAAUCCUUGGCUGAAAUUCUACCCCUUUAUUACCAUAAUACUUUUAUAAAUUAUCAUAAGCAGUGUGAAUGAACAUUUGUCCUUUCCCUGGCUGCACAGCAUCUAUUUUGAUGGAAUCCGUACUAUGUAAUUCUUGGAAAUGAUGGAGCCAGAGACUUCCUUUCCCCACUCCCUUAGGGGCAAAGCCAAUUGGAUGUUCCUGCCCAGGACUUUGCAUCUGGGGUUAGUGAAGCCAGUGUGCAGAGACAGCUUUGAAGUGACAGGGAGGUUCAUCUAGUUACAGCAGUGGCAGUCAUGUUCAUUGAGACAUCCCAAACAGACCAUUCCUGCAGUAGGACCUUGGCCUGGUUCCUUCUCCCUAACCUUCCCUGGCCCCUAUCACAUUUCUAGCCUUCAAAUCCAGCCUUCCUGUCCAAUCUGUGAGCCAUCCUAUACCUUUGCAACAAAUUCCUUUUCUACUGAAGUUAGCAAAAGUCAGUUUCUGAUGCUGUAACCUAGAUGUGUAUAGUCCUUGGCCAAUUAACUAGAAACCUACCUUUUAGAAGUUACAUUAGAGAGGGUUCUAACUAAUUAGCUUUUCUUAAGUAAAUCUUGCCUUCCUAAGAAUUAUUUUUCUUAAAAAAAAAAAUUGGUGGGGAAUGCUGCAAAGAAGGUAAGCCCUGUACUAUCUUGAUCUGAGUAUUUUGCAUUUGAGCUGCUGCUUCUGGUUUGGAUAGGAAUUUUUUUCCUCCUAUUGGGGCUGUACAUUUCCUUCUCUCUCUCUCUCUCUCUUUUUUUUUUUUUUUUUUUUUUUUGGUAACUGUGUCUUGUUCUUCCCAAGACCAUUUUUUUUUCUCAACUCCUGCCCCUUCCCACAUUCCUACCACUGAAUUCAAAUCCUGACUUUGCCAAUGACAAGGAGUGUAACUUUGAGUAGAUUGCUCAACCUCUAGUCAUGACAGAGUUUCCUCAUUUGUAAGACAGUAGAAAUACUUACCUUAAAGGGCUGUUAGAAUUAAAUGAAGUAAUAUAUGUCAAACAGAACAGCACCUGUAUAUAAUACAUGCUAUGCAAGUAUUUGCUAUUAUCAUUUUGAACACAGACUCUGUGCUACAUAGACUAGCAAAGACUUCUAUGACGGUAGGGCUUAUGGUGGCCUUGUUUAUUUUGAUUUGCUCAAUGACUAGCACAGUGCCUUGCAUUAAAUAGUUGUACAUUAAAUAUUUGUAGCAGGAAUACAGAAUGAGUGAAUGAAUGGUCACCAUUCAUUAAAUAUCAUCAUAAUGGAUAAUAGCAGAAAAGAUACCUAACCCUUAUUAAGAAAUUUCCAUAAACCUCCUGUCCUUAUCUGAAAAAUGAGGGAAAUAAUAGCUUCUUUACAGGACUGUUAUGAGAUUUCAGUGACAAUAAAGUAUGUAAACUACUAUACCAGUGCCCAGCACACUAAGCUCAACAAUCACGGGCUUUUCUCUCUGGACUCAAAAGUUAGUAGGUCUAACUCUUUCCCUGGGUUCCAAUAUUAGGUUCUCAGUUUGGCGUCCUUGGCUGUCCCCUUUAUUAUGGCAUUUGUGACAAGAUGAUCUGUCUUCUCAACCUCCUAUUGUUGUUAUAAAAUCUCUGUGAAAGGCAGCAGCCUCCUCUGCCUUCCAUAUUAACCAGCACUUUCCCUGUCCAGAAGUUAUUCCAUCUUACGGAUAUUGAGAAGAUAAAUGGAAGUGAUUAGAAUGUACUUUCCAAACAUAAAACAUUGUACUGUAGGAGUUUGUCAAAGGGGAUUAAUAUUACCACAUAUCUGUAGAAGAACUUUAUGAAGACCCUGUGUAUCUCUCAACCUUAAUGACUAAGAUUGUAGAUAUGAUAGAAAUCUGUAAAUAGCAUGGAAAAGCAAAUUUAUUGAAGUCUAGGACAACUGCAUUACCCAGCUGUACAUAGUGUGUUCUUUCUUCAGAGAUUGCAAUAAAUGAAAAAGAUGGUUGCCAUAGAGAUAAACUGUGCCCUUUGGCUAGCUGAUUAGAAGACCAUUUCAACCUACUAUAAGAGAAUAUAUUUUGCCUGUAAGUGGUAUUUACAGAUAAUUUCUAUCACAGUUGUAACCCAAGUUUUUAAAGCUGAAAUGUUAAACCUAUAAAUGUUGAAUUCCAUAAAGGCUUUUGUUCCUUUAGUAAAACUUAUUUUAACAUUUAUGUGCUUUUUGCCUUGGAAAAUGUGUUUUUAAAGUUCUUCCCCCUAGGAUACUAUAAAAGUCUUCCUUGAAAGCUACUCUACCAUAUAGUUGGUUUCAUUUUCUUUAAAGCUAAUAUUUUAUUUUUUGAAUCAUUUGUCAGAGG
This 2776-nucleotide long non-coding RNA is filed under the name Homo sapiens (human). RNAcentral describes it as "HSALNT0141577". Lineage: Eukaryota; Metazoa; Chordata; Mammalia; Primates; Hominidae. The record is from RNAcentral.